CUGGUGUUAAACCGGAGGAAGUGGGGAUGACGGUCAAGUCAUCAUGGCCCUUAUGGGCAGGGCUACACACGUGCUACAAUGGCCAGUACAGAAGGUUGCCAACCCGCGAGGGGGAGCUAAUCCUACAAAGCUGGUCGUAAGUCCGGAUCGCAGUCUGCAACUCGACUGCGUGAAGUCGGAAUCGCUAGUAAUCGCGAAUCAGCAUGUCGCGGUGAAUACGUUCCCGGGCCUU
RNAcentral lists this ribosomal RNA (232 nucleotides) under uncultured Gammaproteobacteria bacterium. Its description in RNAcentral is "partial 16S ribosomal RNA". It matches the Rfam family "Bacterial small subunit ribosomal RNA", at positions 1152 to 1382 of the family's 1533-position model. Lineage: Bacteria; Pseudomonadati; Pseudomonadota; Gammaproteobacteria. The record is from RNAcentral.